AACGAACGCUGGCGGCGCGCCUAAUACAUGCAAGUCGAGCGAGAAGACGUAGCAAUACGUUUGUAAAGCGGCGAACGGGUGAGGAAUACAUGGGUAACCUACCCUCGAGUGGGAAUAACUAGCCGAAAGGUUAGCUAAUACCGCGUACGCUCCUUGGACUUCGGUUCAGGGAGGAAAGCGAUACCGUGGGUAUCGCGCUCUUGGAUGGGCUCAUGUCCUAUCAGCUUGUUGGUGAGGUAACGGCUCACCAAGGCUUCGACGGGUAGCUGGUCUGAGAGGACGAUCAGCCACACUGGCACUGCGACACGGGCCAGACUCCUACGGGAGGCAGCAGUAAGGAAUAUUGCGCAAUGGGCGAAAGCCUGACGCAGCGACGCCGCGUGGGGGAUGAAGGUCUUCGGAUUGUAAACCCCUUUCGGGUAGGGAAGAUGGAACGAGCAAUCGUUCGGACGGUACCUCCAGAAGCAGCCACGGCUAACUUCGUGCCAGCAGCCGCAGUAAG
This 502-nucleotide ribosomal RNA is filed under the name uncultured bacterium. RNAcentral describes it as "bacterial SSU rRNA". It matches the Rfam family "Bacterial small subunit ribosomal RNA", at positions 29 to 524 of the family's 1533-position model. The record is from RNAcentral.